This 3622-nucleotide long non-coding RNA is filed under the name Gallus gallus (chicken). RNAcentral's name for it is "lncRNA (ENSGALG00010000934.1)". Lineage: Eukaryota; Metazoa; Chordata; Aves; Galliformes; Phasianidae. The record is from RNAcentral.
CUCAGUCAGGUGAGAGACUUAUUAGUCAGAUGUUUCUCUAUUGACUGUGCAACUAGGUUUUAAGGACAACAUACAAAAUGAGGUAGGGAGAUGAAGGGAGAAAUAUAAGGUCAACUCCUAUUCCACUCGAAUACAUUUCAUUUAACAAAAACAAGAGAACCAGUGCUUUUUACUGAAGAAGUGGAGUUUAAAUGUAUGUAAACUUACUAACCAGUUUAAAAGUAGAAGACUUUUCUAUUUUUUUUUCUUUUCCUUUUUUUCUUUUUGUUUUUAUGGAUAACAUAGUCUAAGUAUUGUCCUUUAGAGUUUUCAUAAAAACCUUGAAAUAUUAGUUACAGGAUUGUUUUCUUCCAGGCUUUGUUUUGUUUUGCUUGAUUCUAAGAGAAAGAGGAUCUGGCCAAGAGCACUCAUGCAGAGCAAUUCAUAUGUCUCUGAGGAAUUUGGAUAAAGUUUUCUGGAAACUGGGAAAAGUGGAGGAAUACCAGGAGAUAAUUAAUUAAUCAUAAUCACCUAAAACAUAAGGAUUAUAAUCCUCGGUAAAGGAUGUGUAUCUUUGCUGUCCAUGGACAUCAGAAGACUAUCUGCAGUUCUGUGAAAUCAACAGCAUCUACAGUUGGGAUCCAUCUAUGCUAUAGCAAAUUAAGAAUUUAAGGACUUCCCUGGUUGUGUCCUUCCUGGUUGUGCUCUUGACUGAUCAAGAACUGCUGUAAAGAAAGCUGGAAGAAGCCUCAGCAAGGGUUGCCUUCCUCAGGGUGCUGCUUUUUGGACAGAACUCUUGCUUCUCCUUGCAGCUGCUUUACAGCCCUGCCUGUGCCUGAGGGGCUUAUUGACUUGAUGGGCCCAGACUCCCACAUACAGUAUUUCUGGCUUGGCAAAUGAUUUGCAGCCUAUGGAGUACUUAAAGUAAGACAGAGCUGUUGGUUCAGGAACUUAAUCUCAGGGAGUUCAAAUACCAGGAUUCUCUAAUAAAUACCAUUUUGCACUCCUACUGAGAAACCUGAAAUAAACUGUGGGAUACUGAAUUCAGAAAUAAAGCCCCAAACUUGCAAGCUUUCAUGUCCCUAGCUGAUCUUUCUACUAUGGCAACUUGAAUUUGGAAUUUUCUGACGGACUGAGGUAUGAUUCCCUCACAUGAGAAUGCAUCCAUGUGAGAGAUGACACAAGAGCUUCAGCUGCACUAUGUUUUAUGAAUAUGAAAACAGUCUAGUAUUAGGUAAUUUGAAUUUGUACUGCCUGCUGAGGUAAGGGAGCAGAAGUUGGAAGCACAGGAAUUUACUUUAGAUGUUUGAAUUGGAAUAUAUUAAUAUAUUGAGGAGUAUCUGUGAAGCUGUUUGCCUUAAGUUGAUAAGGAUUUAUGGAUAGAAAGAAGUUUAUGAAAUGACCAAAGUGUCUUCAGAUUUUAAUCUACCAUUAUAAAAUAUAAUGCAUUACUUAGAAACUAAGGACUCAAAAUGCUAAGCUAGUAAUUAUAAAAAUAUACUAAAUGAUUCUAUGGUGUGUAUUUUGAGGUAACAGAUAAUUAUUUACUCUAACAUAGAGAGAAUAAAGAUUGCUAUUGAUCAUACUUUGUUCUAAAAUUACUUUUUUUCCACAUCAAAAUGCCAGCUACAUUGUGGUUUGAGUUGUAAGCUAGACUGCAUAUUUGAGUAUGAAUACGUUUGUAUUAUAGAGUUAGGACAGCUGUUUUCUAAGAUUUUCCAUAAAGAAGAACAGAUAAGUAACUGUUCCAUUGUUUGAACACCCUCAUAGUAAAAAAGUUUUUUCUUAUAUUCAGAUGGGAAUUUCAUGUACUUCCGUUUGUGCCCAUUGCCUUUUGUCCUGUCACAGCACACCACUGAAAACAGACUGGCUCCAGCUCCCUAACAUCCUCUCUUCAGAUAUUUAUAAACAUUGAUAAGAUCUUGCUGAGCCUUCGUUCUUCCUGGGCUAAACGGUCCCAGCUCAUUCAGCCUCUCCUUGUGCUUAUCUGGAUUCACAGGAUAAAAGUGCAAUAAAAUACAUUCUGGUGAGAAGGAAUAAUGUCAUGUCCUGGUCCAUCUAACCAUUAUACUCUAAAAAAAAAUGUAGGUACAUGAAUUUUGCUAGCUUGAGGAAGAACAGUUUUUGUAAAGGUCUAGUAGUGGAAUAGAAGAUUAAAUAGUCCUUAUGUCAAUCAUACUUGCAAUGAAUUUGAAAGUUUAAGUAAUCCCAGCUAUAAAAAUUUUAUAAAACCAUUUUUACCAAAUAAAUAUGCAAGUCCUAUGUACAGCCAUGAGGUGUGAAAAAGAUUAGUGUGACACAAAAUUUUGUGAAAUGUGUGAAACAAAAUUCAUAGGCCUAUGCAGGUACAACUGGUAGUUGUUCUAAAGAAAUAUCUAUUGAAUGAUAGUAAUUAUUUUGAAUUCAGUUAAGUGUAGGUCAGUUGAGAAGUGAAUCUAAGUGGUAUUACUGUAGGAAAAUUGUCAAAUCUAAUUGAAUGAGAGGUGAUACAAAAGACUUCUUAAGUAUCCUUGUCUCCUGCAAACUGUGGGAGAGCAAGGCAGAAUAAUACUGUGGAAGGAAUGGACAGCUGGCACUGUGAUAUCUACGAAAUAAUGUUCUUACCUGUUCCAUGAAACACAGGUUAAGUCCCUUUUUUCCACUGUCUCUUACAGUGGAAUAUACCUGUUGUAUUGAAAAGAGUAGAAGAAAUAUAUUUUUCUUGUUAGGUUUUCCAUCUGAUUUCAGAAUUUUUUGGUGAGAGGUCUGAGAGGAGAGAGGAAGAUUGAGAUGUGGAUGUUACUUCCAUCAACUGGGGAAAAAAUAUCCAAAAGCAUGUGUUCAGUUUGAGAAUCUGGUUGAGAGUAGUCCUUUUCCAUUGGAAAAUAUGAAAUGAAAGUACUUACUUGCGCAGUGUCUUUUUAUUGCUUGAGUAGAAAAUUUAAUAACCUAAUGUUGAUGACUUAUUUAAAUGGCAGCAAUUAUAUUAAAGAUGUGUGCUAGCAUCAGUAAGACAUUAUUAUUGUCUAAAUUUCUAAACACUGUUACCAUCUCAGCUGAAUUCUUAAUGGUAAUUUCUGUUAUCUUUCUGAUAACUUAUCUUUCUGUAUUAAUUAUCUUUCUGUAACUGGGACUUUGCUAAAGGUAAAAGAAAUGUAAACCUAACUGUCUAAAUAGCAAUUGUUAGACUAAUAACUGAUAUAGAAUGUUUUGCACGUGACUCACAUUACUUUAAUCAAAUGUUAGAAUACACACAAUUUGGCAGGCAAUUUUCUCCAGAGUAAGUUGCAGCAUACAGCUCUUUACUAGAGACUGUAUUCUCCUAAAACCAGUGAAACUAUUUCCUCUUUGCUCUUUCACUUAUGUUUUAGUCAUUUGCAUGUCUUUGAAAGAGCACAGAUAUUUGAAAUGCCUCUUCCAGUUCUGGAUGAUUUCCUAUCUUAAUCCUUUUCAUCAUAACUAACUCAGAUUUUGUUUGUUACUCUUCAUCUCUCCACUCCUAUGUUAAUUUUCUUUCUUAUGUCUUGCUCAGUGUGGUCUGUUGUAACAUCACUGCAACAGUAUUGCCAAAGGCUUGCUUAAUGAAACUAUAUUUUUAAAUUAUAAUUAAAGAUGAUUAGAAAAAUGUUAUUUCUGGAUUUUGUAAAGGAAUUAUCAAAUUUAG